GGUGCCCCGGAUGGAAACGGCAGACCAUGGAAGUGGGAUGUGGAAGGUGGGAGAUGGAUGUGGAAGGGCCCAUCUCCCUCCUUGACUCCUCCCCUCUGUCUCUGCUUCCUGGCCCCCGGAAAUGAGCAACUUUCUUCCUCCCAGACUCUUUCCACUGUGCCGUUUUCCCCUUGGAGCUGACCAACCAUGGACUGAAAGUGGGAUGCAAGGAGAGUGACCUGAGAACAUGGGGUCGCCCAGGAGAAGGUCUGAGGCCGGAAGGGACACUGACAUCUGAGGAAGAGAAGGAAGGGUACCGCAGCUAAAAUCUAGAAGGCAAAGAGGAAACUGGCAUAAGACGAAAUGGAAAGGAAGGGGGCUCUAAGCUGGUUUAAAAUAAUUGCAAUUUAGACCAAGAGCAAUGCAGAGCCACAGACUGGGUGUUUACAAUAUAGAACUACGAAAAGGAUAGAAGGAGGACUCUUGUCCAUUAAAAGUUUUUCUAUAAUUCAGAGCUGAAGAAAUGAAUCAGUGCCAUUGUUUUGCUGAAGGUCAAUACCAGAUAAUUCACAAAAAGAAAGAACACCCAGGAAAUCACAGGACAAGAUGCAAUUUCAGGUAUCCAGCUCAGCACCCAAACUAGUCACCAUUUAACUCUGGAAGCAAAGACCAGAAUGAACCCUCAUACAUUGUGCCAGUGCGGAUGAGCUUGGUAUCAUUCAUCUUUCUCAGAAAUAAUAAAAAUCCCAAUGCUAUGAGGAGCUAACUGUGCAAAGUUAUUUCUCCAUUUAUAACAGGAGUAUGAGAAGGAUUCAUAAUUCACCUGAUUUUGGAUGCACCCUCUGCCAAGACUAGAUUAUUCUGGGAAGAGAUCACAGUUGAAAACAAUGGUAAAAACUUCUUUAGUUUUAAAAUUAUGCUUAAUGCCAGAAAUGAGCCACACACAGGAUGAGUCGUCUGACUAUGGCUAGA
Molecule: long non-coding RNA, 951 nt
Organism: Heterocephalus glaber (naked mole-rat)
Lineage: Eukaryota; Metazoa; Chordata; Mammalia; Rodentia; Bathyergidae
Source: Ensembl